AGCUCCAAUAGCGUAUAUUAAAGUUGUUGCAGUUAAAAAGCUCGUAGUUGGAUUUCGGGGCAGCCUGGCUGGUCCGCCGCAAGGCGAGUACUGGUCAGCCGCCCUUCCUCUCGAAAGCCCCGACUGCUCUUCAUUGCAGUGGUCGGGUAGUUCGGGACGUUUACUUUGAAAAAAUUAGAGUGUUCAAGGCAGGCCUACGCCUGAAUACAUUAGCAUGGAAUAAUGGAAGAGGACCUCGGUCCUAUUUUGUUGGUUUCCAGGGCCGAAGUAAUGAUUAAGAGGGACAGUUGGGGGCAUUCGUAUUUAAUUGUCAGAGGUGAAAUUCUCGGAUUUAUGAAAGACGAACAACUGCGAAAGCAUUUGCCAAGGAUGUUUUCA
This 378-nucleotide ribosomal RNA is filed under the name uncultured eukaryote. Its description in RNAcentral is "SSU rRNA". It matches the Rfam family "Eukaryotic small subunit ribosomal RNA", at positions 587 to 972 of the family's 1831-position model. The record is from RNAcentral.